UUUGAAACAACUGACAAGAAACUGUAGGUUGGAAAUCAGAACAGCUGUGGGCUCCUCAACGCAGCAGAUGGGAUAUGCUCCUGGAGGGCCACUUCUGUCAAAGACACCAACCUGCUGGAUGCCAGGCUGAAGAGCCAUGAGGACCUGACUUUGUUCUUAGUGCUGUGUAUGUAGUAAGGUGUUUGGUGAAG
This 191-nucleotide long non-coding RNA is filed under the name Ictidomys tridecemlineatus (thirteen-lined ground squirrel). Its description in RNAcentral is "lncRNA (ENSSTOG00000031362.1)". Lineage: Eukaryota; Metazoa; Chordata; Mammalia; Rodentia; Sciuridae. The record is from RNAcentral.